This 440-nucleotide ribosomal RNA is filed under the name uncultured bacterium. Its description in RNAcentral is "partial 16S ribosomal RNA". It matches the Rfam family "Bacterial small subunit ribosomal RNA", at positions 338 to 795 of the family's 1533-position model. The record is from RNAcentral.
CCUACGGGAGGCAGCAGUGGGGAAUAUUGCACAAUGGGGGAAACCCUGAUGCAGCGACGCCGCGUGAGUGAAGAAGUAUUUCGGUACGUAAAGCUCUAUCAGCAGGGAAGAAAAUGACGGUACCUGACUAAGAAGCCCCGGCUAACUACGUGCCAGCAGCCGCGGUAAUACGUAGGGGGCAAGCGUUAUCCGGAUUUACUGGGUGUAAAGGGAGCGUAGACGGCCGCGCAAGUCUGGAGUGAAAUCCCAUGGCUUAACCAUGGAACUGCUUUGGAAACUGCGCAGCUAGAGUGCAGGAGAGGUAAGCGGAAUUCCUAGUGUAGCGGUGAAAUGCGUAGAUAUUAGGAGGAACACCAGUGGCGAAGGCGGCUUACUGGACUGUAACUGACGUUGAGGCUCGAACGCGUGGGGAGCAAACAGGAUUAGAUACCCCAGUAGUC